UGUGUUGCCCAGGCUGCUCUUGAACUCCUGGACUGAAGCAAUCCUCCUGACUCAGGUUUCCCAAAGUGCUGGGAUUACAGAACUCACGUGCUGUGUGUCAGACUGAGCUUUCCCUGAUUCAUUCUACAAUCCAAGACUUGCUGCACUGUCCUGCUGAUGUUCACAGCCGUGCCUGGGAAGAAGGCAGCCCCACUCCCAGUACAUUUCAGUGGGAGACCUCUGCGUGCAUCCAUGGAGACGCAAUGGGGCGGGGAAGGAACUGUGGGAGUGCACGUUCCAAAUCCUGUGUCUCCACGUGUGGAUCAGCAGCACCUCGCUUUCUUGUCAGAGACCUCGCUGUUACGGAGCGAGACCUGCUGAGAAUUGAGGGGCUGAGGGAACCCCUCCACCUCCUCCCUUCUGCAGCGCCCUGCGCCCCACCCAGCAACAGCGGCCACUUGGCAGUGGGGCUGCUGCAAGCUCAGAGCCGCUGCCACCCUGCAUGUGUCCGCUCAGCUCGGUCUUAUGCUGUAUAGUUACUAAAUAUGUACAGGAGGGCCAUGGCAUCUUUCUGAAUGGAUUUUUCUUAAGAAAUGCGCCAGUGUUUAUGAGGUUCAAGGUAUUUCCCUGUCCUUGCUGUUACCGUCACUCAGCUUUUUCUCGAUAGGCUUCAUCCUUGUUUUUUUGAAAUGGGGGAAUUUGCUGUUUACCCUCUGCAUUCCUAUAUGUGACCCUCCCUCCUACUCCUCCAAGGAACAGAAUUACCGAGGUUCUGACAAAAGAUAAGCCUGUAAACUCAUCAUCUGUGUUUUGUGGUUGGAGAGAAACUGGUGUUCUGCCCGGCUCUGCUUGGUCACAGACAGCUCCAGCAAGAGCAGUUGUUAAAAGUGCCAAGCGUGUGUAUCACUGUGACAAGCCGUUUGCUUACUGCCCUGUUCCCUUGCAGCCAAACCAGCUGAUGAAGAACUGCUGCCAGGUGGGUCCUACAGCAGGUCACAAAUGACCUAGUUUCAUUUUAAGCAGACAGACUCUGUUUGGCCUAGAGGUGUGGAGUGAGAGAACUGUGUUUGUGGGUAUGAGUCUGUGUGGCCAACCCCAUGACCCCCACCCCUCCAGCCCAACAUCUUGUGAGCACAUGUGACCUAGGCCCCGGGGGACCUGCCUGCUCCUUUGGCUUGGGCUCUUCGUGUUUCCCACCUGCCCUCGGCACGAGCCCUUGGUGGCAUCACAGUUGGCCACUCAGCUGUGCUGAGUAGCUGUGCUACUUGUGCUGGCAGCUGCAAGGAUAGGAAUAGCUCAGCGCCCGAUGAGCUCCCUGAGCAGAUGUGAGGCUGGCAACUCCCCUGCCCUCUGUUUGCAGGCACAGGGUCACAGUCCCAAGAAAGACAACUGGAGUCUGAUCUCCCAGCCAUCUCUGGGGUUACUAGGAGGCAGCUGGAUGGCAGAUACGAGAGGCCCAAAUAGCCAAGCUGUUGCAAGACAGAGUGGCUACAAUUGAAUUGACACCCUGGGAAGCACGAGGUAACUUGGUAAGGAUAAUGAUGCUGUAGAUGUCUGUGUCCUCGGAGGCUGAGCUCCGCUUGGCAGAGAGAGCGUGCUGUGUGAGGUGGAGGGCGGUUUUGCAGACAUCUCAGCUUCUUUUCUGAGGAGGAGUUGGUUCUCAUCUUAGGCUUCUGCAAGGGCGAGCAUGGGAUGUCUCCACCACCACCCACUCUUGGAGCUGUGCUGGGUCUUGGCUUGGGGCGCUGAGGGUGGGGCCUGUGUCAGAAGCAUUUGGUGAGAGGGGUGGAGGUGGCAGGCAGGGGUUCUCCUCAGGGUUCCCACUGAGGGGUCCCUUCAGCAAAGACCUGGGAGGAGGUGCCGCAUCACGUGGAUGUUUCUUCCCUAAAGAAAAAGACACAGGAAAGCUGUCUGUCUGUACCCUGCUCUGGAUUUAUUGUCGUACUUGGACCCAGAAGGGGAAAUGAUUCCCUCACCCUUUCACUUUCUCUCUGAACCCCUACUAAGUGGUGACUGCAGAUUCUGGAAACAAUUAGCUGCCCGUGACUCAGCUGCCAGCUUCAUUUUCUCUGCCUUUUGGGAGAGGCCCUCUCACCCAGGCCCAAGAGAUUUGGAGACAGGAGUCAGGCCAGGUCUGAAGCAGGAGAAGGGAGGCCCCUCCUAUCUACCCAGUUGACAUUUGGCUUUGGGAAAAGCGCAGCUUGUUCGAGCCACGUGUGCCAAGCAGGCUUUUCCUUCCUCUUGUAAGUAAAGCUCGUGGUUCUGUAGUCCAGUCAUCCUAGGAGGGUGAUGUUGACUGAGACUUCACGCUCUCCCUUUGUCUCUGGAAACUGCCCCCUCGUUCUGACAGAAUCCCCCAGGCAAUGGAGGAAGGGUGCCGAGGCGCCUCUAGUCUGUGCCUUUGCCGUUGGAAGCAUUUGGUGCUGAGAGGGUUUCCCAGCCACCCGCUCCCUUUCUGGGGCCAUGGUGUCCCUGCUGUGUGUCAGUGGCAUGUCACUGUGGUUCAGUGAGCACAUGGGUGGACGUGCAGAGACUGUCUGCGCAGCCCCCAGCAGACAUGCCCCUGGGGUGAGGACACAGGCUCUGCAGGCUAUCUCCCCCUCUGGCUCAGUCAUCGCCUGCCCACCCUUCACUUCUUAAAGGUGCGCAAGAGAGGAGGGCCGACUGGAGGGUGUCGCCGGAAGGUUUCAGCCUGCCCUUCACAAUUCCCCUUGUGCACAGCCCAGUUUCCAUCUCUCAGGGCCCACCCAGGAAAAUGGAUUUCAAGUGGGGGUUUUCAUCCAGAGAUUUGUUUAACACAAAACAAGAAAAGCUGAGAGGCAAAACAGGGGAGUGAGGGGCAACCCAGAGGUGGGGAACAACAACAGCAAGCCGCCCCCAUCCUGAGACUGGCUGGGCACCAGGGGAGGACGCGUCACCAGAGCCUGGGGCCAAGGCCACUGGGGGACCUGCCACACUGUGGACCUGUCUGGUGGGGGCUGGAGCCUCGAGAAGCCAUGAUUCUUGUCAGAAACAUUUCCCCAGGCAGAGAGAGGGGGCCCCAGCCUCUCCCCUCCUCUUGGCCUCCAGAGUCCUGCAGGUGCCUCACAGUAGUGAAACCCAGUUGGAAGCAGCUGCCCUGGGAGCCUGGGACAGGCGACCCACCGGGUCAGUCCCCUGCCACUCAGAGCAGAGCAGGGGGCUGAGGGCAAGCAGGUGGGGCUGUGCGUGGCCUCAGUGCACUCGGUGUCAUGUCUGAGCCUGGUGUUUAUGCCCCACUGCUGUCCUAAGUCCCUGGCGAGGGGAGGUGGAGGAGCUGCCCCGUGGGUGUUUGGAGAUUCUGUUUUACUCUGCCUAGAGAGGAAACGGCUUUGGGGAGGGAGGGGGAAGCCUUUAUUCUUUACUGUUGUCCCUGUUUUCCUUUGGGGGAAUUUACUCAGUUAGCAGCCCCUCCUCACCAUUCCCCCCAGGAAGGCCAUGUCCCAGUUUUCUGUCCACCCCUCCUGUUCCUCUGCACUAUGUCUCUGAUUUUCCCUGCCAGGGAAGCUAACCCAGAGCACGCACCUGUGCUCAUGAGUGUUUCCGCAGGAUAAUUCGUUCUGAGCAUGAUACCACAGUGUGGAUUGUCUGUCUGUAAGGAGAUGCCAUCUACUAACCAAUUUGUAUUGUGUUUCCAAUAAAUUCCUGGAAAUUUU
Molecule: long non-coding RNA, 3653 nt
Filed under: Homo sapiens (human)
Lineage: Eukaryota; Metazoa; Chordata; Mammalia; Primates; Hominidae
Description: HSALNT0030751
Source: RNAcentral